This is a transfer RNA of 76 nucleotides. It matches the Rfam family "tRNA". From Rfam's summary of the family: Transfer RNA (tRNA) molecules are approximately 80 nucleotides in length. Their secondary structure includes four short double-helical elements and three loops (D, anti-codon, and T loops).
GCCUUUUUAGCUCAGUUGGUAGAGCGCAUCCAUGGUAAGGAUGAGGUCGCCGGUUCAAUUCCGGCAAAAGGCUCCA